Long non-coding RNA from Canis lupus familiaris (dog), 1489 nucleotides. RefSeq lists it as uncharacterized. The record is from RefSeq and is a predicted model, not a curated record. Lineage: Eukaryota; Metazoa; Chordata; Mammalia; Carnivora; Canidae. The transcript has 3 exons.
CAGAGGAGGGAAUCUUGGAGGUCAAAAGGCAGGCAGCAAGAGCCAGCCCCAGUCCCUGCGUUGGGAGUCUACUCCAUGCCACCUGCAGAGAUCUGAUUGUGUCUGGAUUAAGGAAACCGUCCUCAACAUAGUUGGUAUCCUUGCCUGCUGGCAGGCACACCAUCUCCCCAGAGGCUCCCCAGGCUCCCUCCCACCUGUGCUGGUCUACAGAGAAGGUCCCUUCACUGAUGAACACCACCUGGUGGAAAUACCUGGGAGGUUACACCUGCCACUUGGUCACACCCCCAUGACAGUAGGCAGCCAGGCCUGUGGUCACCUGGUCCAGGGAAGUUCAAAAGUCCGGCACCCUCCCCUCAAGACAGUACAACUCCAAUGAGAUUUAUUCUUCAGAACUCUCCCCUGGUCCAACCCCAGUGGAGUGAUUGGUGAAUACAAAAAGGUUUGCUAAUACACUGAUGGGAAUGCAGGCAAAGAGACACACCACCCUCCAUGCAGGAGGCCUUGGCAUACCUGUCCACAUUACAGACACACCUGCCUGUACCCAGCAUUCGCUUCUGAGAAGUUCGCCUGUGGGGAUACAAGGACUUGAACUCGGAGAUGUAUGUACAUAGACAGCAGGCAGCAGAGGACAGAGAAACAAUCUCAGCGCCCAUCCAAAGGGGUUGGCCAGAUGGAAACAUUCCUGGAGGAUGGGCAGGAGGUGGACACUUCUGGACCAGCACAGCCUCCCCAGGAAGGAGCGAAGUCAGGAAGAUGAAGAGAAAUGGUCCAGGUGGCACCUCUCAGGCUGGGAACAGAAAGCAGAGAGAAUCAAAGGCGUCUCCAGAACAACCCUGGCCGGGGAGGCGGGGACAGAGGCCGGGGAGCCUCUUGAGGAGGCCACAGGUCCGGGCCUCCCCUCCCCUCUGUUCCCCAGGCACACAGCGGAAUUGGACAGAGGGAAGGCAGAAGGGAAGGGUGCAGUUCAGGCCUCGGCGUCGAGGGAGAGAGGGAGCGCAGGUCAGGCCAGGGAAGGGCCGCGUGGGCCUAGGCGUCCUGCGUGCAUGUGUGUGUGCCCCAACGCGGGUGCAUGUGCCUGCGUGUGUUUAAUUUAAACUUCAACAAAAGAAAGCAAAGAUGGCCUUAGUAAUAUCCAUGAAAGGAACAUACUGAACACCGUGCAGAGGCUCGGGGUGAAACAGCACUAACAAGCUCAGGACUCCCUUCCAAAGCCCUGGCCGUGCGCCGGGCCGUGUGCUCACUGCUUACUACGUGCUGAUGAGCUUCCUCACAGCUCUGCUCAGUGGACACUAUUCCACCCCACCUCUGAGAUGAGAAAACAGAGGCACACCCAGGGGAGCCACACAAGCAGCACAGAGUGGCCCCCAUCCAGGGCUUGAGCCGCUGCCGUCCAGCUCCAGAGUCUACACUCCUGGAGAAUCACGAGAAGAUGCAAUUAAUCGUGAUUUUCCCUUUUACUCACACUUUUAUAUGCCAAAUAGCUACAAAA